Molecule: ribosomal RNA, 295 nt
Filed under: uncultured bacterium
Lineage: Bacteria
Description: partial 16S ribosomal RNA
Source: RNAcentral
GGACUACCGGGGUAUCUAAUCCGUUUUGCUCCCCACGCUUUCGUGCCUCAAUGUCAGAAACAGAAUAGUUAACUGCCUUCGCCAUUAUUGAUGUUCCAAUUCAUAUCGAUGGAUUUUACCCCUCCAUGAACCAUUCCGUCAACCUCUCCUGCUCUCUAGUCUGAUAGUAUUAAUAGUUUCCACGAGGUUGAGCCUCGAUUUACCACCACUAACUUUCCAAACCAUCUACGCACCCUUUACGCCCAGUAAUUCCGGAUAACGUUCGCCACCUACGUCUUACCGCGGCUGCUGGCAC